AGUGCUGCACUUCAGCUCGCCCGCGACACCCACUGCGCUGCCACUGUCACAGCCCGAUUCCGGCCGUCUCCGGCGAGGCCUCGCGCAGCCAGCCUCCGUCCCAACACCCCAGCUCCUAAUCCUAUACCGAACCCGCGGCGCUGAGCCGUCAAUCUGCAGCACCCGUGACGAACCCUAGACGAGCGAGAGCAAGAUCCCGUAUCACCGGCGCCGCUGCGUGGUUCCAUCCCAUCUCCUGGCCGGCCACCCACGGGAGCAAGCUCGCCGCGGCACUGGAUUGGCGGCGGGGAGGCUCGGACUAAGAGAUGGUGGUCAUCUGCAAGAAGCUGCUGGGACUACCACCCUGACCGCUGCAACCACCGGCGACGUCCCCGAUUACCUGCCGCCGGCCACCUCUCCGGCAUGCUGUUGUCGGUCUCCUCCCCAGCGGUCCGCUGCCCAGCACGGCUGUGGUUGUGGCUCCUCGGUUCUCCUCACAAGGCCCUGUGAAUCCUUCUCCAUCUCCUUCCUGUUGGUGGUCGCCACCGUUGCCGUGGUUCAGAUACAAGUAAAUCCAGUUCGUGUACGAUGAGUACAACCUGUAUAUACAAUAAAAAAAUCCCGCGAGGGUGCUUGAUGGAUUCCACAAGAAUUAUAUUAUCCCACUGAAAACUUUCCCAUCUUGCUUCGUGGGCAUCAUCCAUCCACCAAAUACAUGAUUUAAGAAGGUUCACCUUUUUGUGUUUUGUUAGAUAUAGGCAGCAGCCAAGUGCGGCAUCCAUUGCUGGCCAUUUUCUAGUAAUGCUAGGUGCGGUUAGAGUGAUCAAUCCAUAGCAUGCAACUUAGACUACUAAACUACUGCAUGUGUGCCAGUAAUUUGCACUACUAUGCAUUAUCUAGUCUGCAAGACUAGUUAAAUGGCCAUUGUUGUGUACUUAGUUUUUUUACUGUCUUAUUGUUGGAUCCUCGUAGCUGCAUUUUGAGGCGUACUCAAUUUAGUACAGUUGUUGUAUAGCUUAGUUCAGAUUGAGAUACUACUUCUGCCGACCUCCUAUCCUUGUGGCAGCAUGUGGUACUCAAUUAAGUGGAGGACUACUAGAUUUUAGAUCCUACUCAUCAUGUGUUUCUCAGCAUGAAAUAACUCGCUGUGCAUAUUAAUGUUCUGCAAUUCAGUGGAGAAGUGUAGUUUAUCAUAUGUUUAAUAUCAGUUGUUCUGUUGUUUAGCAAAUUUAACAAACACUACCGGUUGGCUGUACCUAAUUAGUAUUUAAUACCUGGUUGCCUGUUAGGUUGGUGAGGUUUAAUAGUGAGGUGGAUAGUGCAAUGCUAUCUGCCUGACUUCUUUCAAUAGAAUGAUAGGAGCUACUUUAUUAGCUUUAAUUUUAUCAUAUUACAAAGUUGCUAUUGAUUCUUUUUUGGCAACUGGAGGAGUUAUGGGUCGGAUAAAUCGGGGGAGAAGGUGAUGGAGCAGUAUGUUCGCUGGUCCAACUCUUUCUUCUACUUCAUCACUGGCGUUGUUGUCAAGGUUGCAGGAAUUCUGUAUUUGGGAAAACUCUCAUGUUCAAAAUUUUCAUUAACAAUAGGAAGUGGGGCCGAAGUGUCGAAAAUUGACAUGUAAAUUCUAUUGGAUUGGUUGCACCAGACCGCGAGCUCACCCUAAUGGAUUGGUGGCACAGCGCGAAGCAAGACACGCCAACGCCGCUUCGCAAAGGCCUAUCAUCUGCCUCCCUCCUAAUCCCCUGGAAGACCUGGAAACACAGAAAUGAUUGCAUCUUCGAAGGAGCCCAACCCUCUAUACCGCUGCUGCUGCAAAACAUCAAGGACGAGCUUAGGCUUUGGGCUCGGGCAGGGGCCCAGGGGUUACAAGUAGUGCUGCCAUCCAGUUGGGAUGUGCACUGAUAGCUCCUCUCCAUUAUCUGUAAUCUGCCUCCUAGGAGGAUGUAAACAAAUUUCUAUCUUUUCAAUGAAAUGAAACGCAAUGGUCCUUUGCGUUUUCUCAACAAAAAAAAAAUCUAUUUCAGAGUGUAUAG
Lolium rigidum is the source of this 2009-nucleotide long non-coding RNA. RefSeq lists it as uncharacterized. NCBI's taxonomy places the organism in Eukaryota, Viridiplantae, Streptophyta, Magnoliopsida, Poales, Poaceae. The transcript has 3 exons. The record is from RefSeq and is a predicted model, not a curated record.